Long non-coding RNA from Suricata suricatta (meerkat), 666 nucleotides. RefSeq lists it as uncharacterized. The record is from RefSeq and is a predicted model, not a curated record. The transcript is spliced from 3 exons. NCBI's taxonomy places the organism in Eukaryota, Metazoa, Chordata, Mammalia, Carnivora, Herpestidae.
GGGAUGCCGCGUCGCCCCAGGGCUCGGAAGAGCCAAGCUUCCGUCCCCGUCCCCGUGCGGAGGUGGACCGACGGGGGGCCAGGUAAGGAAGCUGGAGCCUGGAGACGACCCCAGGUGAGCCUGGGGGCAGAUCUGAGCCCAUGUCUGACCAGAGUCCACUGGACACAAUGACCUGGAAAACGCACAGUGUCUCAGGAGCAGACAGAUGUUCCAGCUUAAAGCUAACUUCAUUAACUUUGUCCUUCGCUUGAGCAACCGCUGCGUCAAGGUCAUGCUGUCCAACUCGAAUCUCUAAGUGAAUCCGCUGUACAAACAGUAGAAGGGAAGAAACAUUCUUAAAACAGCUCCACUCCCGCCCCGUGUCUGCCCGUGCCCUCUCUUCGCUCUCCCCGCCCCGCCCCGUGUCUGCCCGUGCCCUCUCUUCGCUCUCCCCACCCCCCCUGCAAGAGCAGGCCCCGCUGCUUCCUGGUCUCUCACCGGCCCUCAACCCCUGCCAGACUCAGCACUUGAGGAUGAUAUGCACUAAAUGGUGAUCUGUGACCCAGAGAAGGUACUCAUACCCCCAAACGUCAAAUUUACUAUGAGGCAAAUGCCUUUGGUGCUAAGCGAAUUUGAUUACUUUCAGGAAAUUUUUCUUUACAUAAAACUAAUUUCUGAUACUAACGU